This 253-nucleotide ribosomal RNA is filed under the name uncultured bacterium. Its description in RNAcentral is "partial 16S ribosomal RNA". It matches the Rfam family "Bacterial small subunit ribosomal RNA", at positions 524 to 776 of the family's 1533-position model. The record is from RNAcentral.
UACAGAGGUGGCAAGCGUUGUUCGGAAUUACUGGGCGUAAAGGGCGCGUAGGCGGUCUUGUAAGUCUUGUGUGAAAUCCCUCGGCUUAACUGAGGAACUGCACGGGAUACUGCGAGACUUGAGAUCGGGAGAGGGAAGCGGAAUUCCAGGUGUAGCGGUGAAAUGCGUAGAUAUCUGGAGGAACACCGGUGGCGAAGGCGGGUCUCUGGGCCGAUACUGACGCUGAGGAGCGAAAGCGUGGGGAGCGAACAGG